CAGUCGCCGCGGGAAUACGUAGGUGGCAAGCGUUGUCCGGAAUUAUUGGGCGUAAAGGGCUCGCAGGCGGUUUCUUAAGUCUGAUGUGAAAGCCCCCGGCCCAACCGGGGAGGGUCAUUGGAAACUGGGAAACUUGAGUGCAGAAGAGGAGAGUGGAAUUCCACGUGUAGCGGUGAAAUGCGUAGAGAUGUGGAGGAACACCAGUGGCGAAGGCGACUCUCUGGUCUGUAACUGACGCUGAGGAGCGAAAGCGUGGGGAGCGAACAGGAUUAGAUACCCCUGUAGUCCCUGUCUCUUAUAC
RNAcentral lists this ribosomal RNA (301 nucleotides) under uncultured bacterium. RNAcentral's name for it is "partial 16S ribosomal RNA". It matches the Rfam family "Bacterial small subunit ribosomal RNA", at positions 509 to 807 of the family's 1533-position model. The record is from RNAcentral.